Molecule: long non-coding RNA, 1493 nt
Organism: Numida meleagris (helmeted guineafowl)
Lineage: Eukaryota; Metazoa; Chordata; Aves; Galliformes; Numididae
Exons: 3
Source: RefSeq, a predicted model, not a curated record
UCUGUUUGUGAUGCUAGAUAAUUACACUGGUUCUUUUAAUCCAGUUGCCUGGCUUUUGUUUCUCUGAUGGAGCCCAGAGGUAAGUCACUGCAAGGACAGAGCCUUUGGGGCUCGCCUCUCCCCUUCUCUUUUCCUCCCCUCUCCGUCCCCCUUUCUGUUCUCUUCUCCCCUCGUCUCCAGACAGUUCCACACCUGGUUUGUUGUGCAUUAGCACGGUGCCGCUGCAGGCACUCAGCUCCUAUUUUUGAGAUGCUCCUGCGUAGAAGGGAGAGAAGAGCGCUGUGGAGUAACCCCCUGUUGUUCCCAUCUGGAGAUGGAUAUGGACGUGUAUGACAGGUGCUGCUCUGUCCUGUUUCUUUACAGGUGUGAACGGGAUGCAGAAUCCCAGCUGGCCCCUGCGAUGGAAGCUAUAGCAGAUGGCAUGGGUACAUCAUGGCUUUUUACUUCCUUUGAGAGCUGCCAGCUCGCAGCCCUAAUGCCAGCCAGGCACGUCUGCAGGAGUGAGAACACAGAGCUGCGUGCACGUGCCCUGUCCCUGCACCAUCCCCUGGUACCAUCUGUGCUUCAGUUGUACCGUUAUGAAGAGAUGUAGAUGGCGGUGCAUGAGAAAAAGAUCUCGUGGUUCUAUUCUCGUGGCAACUAUUAUGACCCAGGCAGGGGCUGGUGCAAGGACAGGGGCAGAGGCAAGUGCAGCUGUUAAGACAAAGGCAGGGGCAGUGGCCGGGCCAGGGGCAAGGGCAGCUCUUAUGACCACGGCAGGUGCAGGGGAAGGGGCAGGUGCAGGGGCCGGGGCAAGGGCAGCACUUAUGACCCAGUCAGGGGCAGAGGCAGCAGCAGCGGCAGGGAUAGGGGCAGGGGCAAAGCCAACUCUUAUGACCCAGGCAAGGGCAGGGGCAGGGGCAGGGGCAAGGGCAAGGGCAGCUCUUAUAACCAAUGGAGGGGCAUGGGCAGUGGCAGGGGAAGGGGCAAGGGUAGCUCUUAAGAUCCACACAGGGGCAGGGGCAGUGGGAGGGGCAGGGUCAGGGGCAAGGCAGCUCUUAUGACACAGGCAGGGGCAGGGGCAGGGGCAGCUCUUAUGCUUGACAGCUCUACAUUGCUUAGAGCAAAGCAGCACAAGCAAACAAAAUGCUCUCCGGUGCACAAGCUGAGAAGCAUACUUUAUUCCUGAGUUGAACAACUCUGAGCAGAAGUACCUCCACACGGUUUGACGUCUCAAAGGAAUUCACAGAGCUCUAAGUAGCUUUUAGUACCUUCCUUUAUAGUCAGACUCGUAUCACCCUUCUGCCACCAGCUGCCACCGCUGGCCUCUCUACUGCUUCCACUGUGGCUUCCACAACAGCACUGUCAUCAGUCGCCCUUUCCUCUCAAGACUCUCCCGCUUCCUUACUCAUCCCCUUAGUUAUCCCCCUGCACCCUGGCUCCACCCUUUCUGUCACCCAGGAACACUGCAUCCACCUGAGCUCCGCUGGGUUGGCCCUGCCUUUCUACCAGGC